UCCGGUGAUAAUAGCAGAGAGGCCACACCCGUUCCCAUCCCGAACACGGAAGUUAAGCUCUCUUGCGCCGAUGGUACUGCUGUAUGGUGGGAGAGUAGGUCGUCGCCGGCU
This 111-nucleotide ribosomal RNA is filed under the name Spirochaeta isovalerica. The record is from RNAcentral. Lineage: Bacteria; Pseudomonadati; Spirochaetota; Spirochaetia; Spirochaetales; Spirochaetaceae.